Gallus gallus (chicken) is the source of this 321-nucleotide long non-coding RNA. RefSeq lists it as uncharacterized. Lineage: Eukaryota; Metazoa; Chordata; Aves; Galliformes; Phasianidae. The transcript has 2 exons. The record is from RefSeq and is a predicted model, not a curated record.
CGGAUGGAUUGGGAUGGAGGGAUGGGGACGGAUGGAUUGGGACGGAUGGACGGGGAAUAUGGAGGGAUGGAUGGAUGGGAAAUGAGGAAGAGAGACGAUGGAUGGAUGGACGGCUGGGGAUGCAGGGACGGGAGCAGGACGGAGGCCCGGGCAAUGCGGAGGGGGCAGCCCAACACCCCCACACUGCACCCCAUCUGCGCCCCCCCACAGCCCCCCCGAAGCCCAGCGACUGCAGCACGGACGGCUCCACCAAACCCAUCCCCCCCUCCCCAAAGAAAACCCUAUUCAAUAAUUCCUGCCAAUAAAUAACGUUUUCACCUC